RNAcentral lists this unclassified non-coding RNA (210 nucleotides) under Hodophilus phaeoxanthus. RNAcentral describes it as "partial internal transcribed spacer 2". Lineage: Eukaryota; Fungi; Basidiomycota; Agaricomycetes; Agaricales; Clavariaceae. The record is from RNAcentral.
AUCUAUCAAUCCAACACAGGUUAAAUCUUGUGAUUGGUGUUUGGAUUAUGAAGGUUGCUGGAAUUAAUGUCAGCUCCUUUAAAAUGUAUUAGCAGAACUUUGUAUCAGCUUCGGUUUGAUAAUUAUCUUAUCCUUGCUGUUGCUGGUAAAAAGGUUCAGCUUCAAAUUGUCUCAUCUUAUGAGACUGUCCAAUCUUUGGGCAUUAUUUUG